GUAGGGUGCGAGCGUUAAUCGGAAUUACUGGGGCGUAAAGCGUGCGCAGGCGGCUUUGCAAGACAGAUGUGAAAUCCCCCGGGGCUCAACCUGGGGAACUGCAUUUGUGACUGCAAGGCUAGAGUACGGCAGAGGGGGAUGGAAUUCCGCGUGUAGCAGUGAAAUGCGUAGAUAUGCGGAGGAACACCGAUGGCGAAGGCAAUCCCCUGGGCCUGUACUGACGCUCAUGCACGAAAGCGUGGGGAGCAAACAGGAUUAGAUACCCUGGUAGUCCACGCCCUAAACGAUGUCAACUGGUUGUUGGACGGCUUGCUGUUCAGUAACGAAGCUAACGCGUGAAGUUGACCGCCUGGGGAGUACGGCCGCAAGGUUG
Molecule: ribosomal RNA, 373 nt
Filed under: uncultured organism
Description: partial 16S ribosomal RNA
Rfam family: Bacterial small subunit ribosomal RNA
Source: RNAcentral